GACGAACGCUGGCGGCGUGCUUAACACAUGCAAGUCGAACGGAAAGGCCCUGCUUUUGUGGGGUGCUCGAGUGGCGAACGGGUGAGUAACACGUGAGUAACCUGCCCUUGACUUUGGGAUAACUUCAGGAAACUGGGGCUAAUAACGGAUAGGAGCUCCUGCUGCAUGGUGGGGGUUGGAAAGUUUCGGCGGUUGGGGAUGGACUCGCGGCUUAUCAGCUUGUUGGUGGGGGAGUGGCUUACCAAGGCUUUGACGGGUAGCCGGCCUGAGAGGGUGACCGGCCACAUUGGGACUGAGAUACGGCCCAGACUCCUACGGGAGGCAGCAGUGGGGAAUAUUGCACAAUGGGCGGAAGCCUGAUGCAGCAACGCCGCGUGCGGGAUGACGGCCUUCGGGUUGUAAACCGCUUUCGCCUGUGACGAAGCGUGAGUGACGGUAAUGGGUAAAGAAGCACCGGCUAACUACGUG
Molecule: ribosomal RNA, 468 nt
Filed under: uncultured bacterium
Lineage: Bacteria
Description: partial 16S ribosomal RNA
Rfam family: Bacterial small subunit ribosomal RNA
Source: RNAcentral